Molecule: transfer RNA, 72 nt
Filed under: Candidatus Wildermuthbacteria bacterium RIFCSPHIGHO2_02_FULL_49_12b
Lineage: Bacteria; Candidatus Wildermuthiibacteriota
Also listed under: 1 other name
Description: tRNA-Thr
Rfam family: tRNA
About the family: Transfer RNA (tRNA) molecules are approximately 80 nucleotides in length. Their secondary structure includes four short double-helical elements and three loops (D, anti-codon, and T loops).
Source: RNAcentral
GCCAGAGUAGCACAGUGGUAGUGCAACUGCAUGGUAAGCAGUAGGUCGGGAGUUCAAUUCUCCCCUCUGGCU